Molecule: ribosomal RNA, 360 nt
Filed under: uncultured bacterium
Lineage: Bacteria
Description: bacterial SSU rRNA
Rfam family: Bacterial small subunit ribosomal RNA
Source: RNAcentral
AGUGAACGCUGGCGGCGUGCUUAACACAUGCAAGUCGAACGCGAAAGGGUAGCAAUACCCCGGUAGAGUGGCGAACGGGUGAGUAAUGUGUGGGUAAUCUGCCUUUCAGAGGGGGAUAACCCGGCGAAAGCUGGGCUAAUACCCCAUAAUGUUGCUUGGUCCUCGGACCGAGUAAUCAAAUGAUGGCCUCUAUUUAUAAGCUAUCGCUGAAAGAUGAGCCCCACAUCUAUCACGCUUGUUGGUGGGGUAACGGCCCACCAAGGCGACGACGGAUAGCCGGCCUGAGAGGGUGUCCGGCCACACUGGAACUGAGAUACGGUCCAGACUCCUACGGGAGGCAGCAGUGGGAAUCUUGCGCAA